This is a long non-coding RNA of Epinephelus moara (kelp grouper), 415 nucleotides long. RefSeq lists it as uncharacterized. The transcript is spliced from 3 exons. Lineage: Eukaryota; Metazoa; Chordata; Actinopteri; Perciformes; Serranidae. The record is from RefSeq and is a predicted model, not a curated record.
UACUACAUCUGUGGCCAAGAGCACGGCCUCGCUCAACAGGAUCGAUCUAAGGAGCCUGAGAAGCAAGUCCUCCUAAGACACAGAGACAGACGCUCAGGGAAAGAAAAAAGAAAGUGUGCGUGUGAGGACAGAUCGAGACAAACGACUACCACUGGCUAUAAUCACUUUGAUGUUUUAACGGUUGUUGAGGAAGACGUGGUGGAGACCAUUUUAACGAUUGAAGGAGGUGGACCAGUCAAAACCUCACCUGGCUAUCAGCGGUUUGUCUGAGAGCUUAUCAGAAAGAUUCAACAUUCGUAACCUACCUGGUGACGUCACGUGGUCCCGGCCCAUGAGAAACGCUGAUCCAGGAGUGGACAGCCAAUCCAGGGAGGAAAUUAGGAGAAGGACUACGACAUUGGAGGAGGAGGACGAG